RNAcentral lists this long non-coding RNA (261 nucleotides) under Rattus norvegicus (Norway rat). RNAcentral's name for it is "long non-coding RNA NONRATT021290". Lineage: Eukaryota; Metazoa; Chordata; Mammalia; Rodentia; Muridae. The record is from RNAcentral.
GUGUUUGAUGAGUGUGGACCGCCUUGUCCCCGUACCUGUUUCAACCAGCACAUACCCCUAGGGGAGCUGGCAGCCCACUGCGUGAGGCCCUGUGUUCCAGGCUGCCAGUGUCCUGCAGGCCUGGUGGAGCAUGAAGGCCAUUGCAUCUCACCUGAGGCCUGCCCAUCAGUCCUGCUUACUGGAGGCUAGCCAGCUCGCAUGCUGUCCACUCCCAGUCAGGAGCAGCCUCUGGGUCCACCCUGAGUUAAGAACACCCUCAUC